GAUCAUGGCUCAGGAUGAACGCUAGCUACAGGCUUAACACAUGCAAGUCGAGGGGCAGCAUGUUGGUUGCUUGCAACCAAUGAUGGCGACCGGCGCACGGGUGAGUAACGCGUGAGUAACCUGCCCUGGAGUGGGGGACAACAGUUGGAAACGACUGCUAAUACCGCAUAAGCCCACGGAUUCGCAUGGAUCUGCGGGAAAAGGAUUUAUUCGCUCUAGGAUGG
This 224-nucleotide ribosomal RNA is filed under the name uncultured bacterium. Its description in RNAcentral is "partial 16S ribosomal RNA". It matches the Rfam family "Bacterial small subunit ribosomal RNA", at positions 15 to 228 of the family's 1533-position model. The record is from RNAcentral.